Molecule: ribosomal RNA, 110 nt
Filed under: uncultured eukaryote
Lineage: Eukaryota
Description: partial small subunit ribosomal RNA
Source: RNAcentral
GUCGCUCCUACUGAUUGAGUGACCCGGUGAAUAAUCUGGAUUGCAUGGUUGCUCAAUUCUAGAGGACUAAUGUGCAAAAUUUUGUGAACCUCAUCACUUAGAGGAAGGAG